RNAcentral lists this long non-coding RNA (1028 nucleotides) under Taeniopygia guttata (zebra finch). Its description in RNAcentral is "lncRNA (ENSTGUG00000021422.1)". Lineage: Eukaryota; Metazoa; Chordata; Aves; Passeriformes; Estrildidae. The record is from RNAcentral.
GCCUACUUUUUGCAACCCAGAAUUCCUAUACUGAAAGGUCAGGCCUGGUGUAUUUGCCAUUGUAAUCUCGCUAUUUUCCUGCUUUUAAUCUCCCCAUUGUCGAGGUUUUAAAAGCAAGAGUGAUGUUUUGCUGAUGAGAGAGUGAAAAAGAAGAAAUAUACGAUAUGCAGCCUCCUGAGUGGGCUGUCCAAAGAUACAAAGUGUGAAUUCAUUCACUUAGAGGGUCAGAGUUAGAGGAGGGCUGAGUAGGUGCUGAUUUCUUAUCAGGUCUUUGCUCCGCUCCAUGGCUGAGGGUGUUGUGAGGCAAUGCAAGGUUUAAAGGGAGAAGAUGUCUUCCUUCUCUGUAGCAGACUGAACGUGGCCUUUCCUGAUGCCUGCGUCUUCCCAGGUGCAGACAAACUGAGUCUGGUGAGUGGCUCUGGACCAGCCUGUCAUUUCAGUCGAGCUGUGUCUUUGCACUCAAAUAGCCUCUGAUUUUAAAAUGUUUCUGCCAAGAGGAAUGACCACAGUACUGUAUGAAGCUAUGGAAAAAACAGCUGAACCUUUUGAUAUGUUGAUGUUGUUAUAAUAUCUAGUCCCAUCUUUUGAAAACAUAAAUCAGGGAAAUGUGUGCAUGGAAGUUCAGAAAUAAAUACCUGGACUUUUUUUAUCAUUAAAGUAUUCAGAAUAUAUAAAGAUUAUCUUGAUAAAUAUGCUUUGUUCUUUAAAUGAAUGGAUGAAAUUUGGCAUGCUUCUUAAAGAGGCCUUUUGCCAGUCUUUUCCCAUAUUCUUAGCUCAUGCCUUUGCAUAAUGAUGUGAUCCAUGGUGGGCAGGAAUAAUUCAGCCUAACGAUGAAUAAUGGUAGCAUUUGUGGUCAACUGGUCAUGACAUUCUCAUUUGAGCAUUUCUCUUUGGGAACUGCGUCUUUGAGUCAUGAGACUUGCAGUAAUGUCAAAUAAGAGAGCAGCACAGAAUCAGGCUGGAUGAGGGAGAAAGGGGACACUUGUUUUCCAGGGUCCACUGUGGUGGAGGAUGGAAUUAAAGGAAAA